GAUGACGCUGGCGGCGUGCCUAAUACAUGCAAGUCGAGCGAGCGGCGGACGGGGGCGUAAUGUCUGGGAAACUGCUCGAUGGAGGGGGAUAACUACUGGAAACGGUUGCUAAUACCGCCUACCAUCGGAUGUGCCCAGAUGGGAUUGGCUAGUAGGUGGGGUAACGUGUCACCUAGGCGACGAUCCCUAGCUGGUCUGAGAGGAUGACCAGCCACACUGGAACUGCGACACGGUCCAGACUCCUACGGGAGGCAGCAGUGGGGAAUAUUGCACAAUGGGCGCAAGCCUGAUGGAGCCAUGCCGCGUGGAUGAAGAAGGCCUUCGGGUUGUAAAGUACUUUCAGCGAGGAGGCGUUACUCGCAGAAGAAGCCCCGGCUAACUCCGUGCCAGCAGCCGCGGUAAUAC
RNAcentral lists this ribosomal RNA (405 nucleotides) under uncultured bacterium. RNAcentral describes it as "partial 16S ribosomal RNA". It matches the Rfam family "Bacterial small subunit ribosomal RNA", at positions 33 to 526 of the family's 1533-position model. The record is from RNAcentral.